UCCAGCCAGCAAAUCCUACUGUGAAAGGCCUCUGUGUGACCUCCAGAAAACAUUUUUGAACAAACCUCCAAACCCCUUUACACUUUUAAUGACUGUUUUACAAGGAUUUAGGAUGUGAUGACUAUUGGAUUUAACUAUAAUGAUUUGCCAAGAAACAUGUUAAAGAUUUAAGCACCAAAGACUUCUAAACUGUAGGCUAAGAUGUUGCCUUCCACGAAGGCCAUUACACACCAACCCUUUUCUGAAGGCAUAUUCCAUGGCUAUCCAAGGAGCAAACCACAAGUCAAGGGGACAUUUUCAAAAGUGUUUCCAUUUGCAAGCUGGGUGACCAGCGGGGCCAUGCUGGAAGUCAUAAGUUUGUUAACUGGGAAGUGCCUUUCACGGCACCACUUUGGAGAUGAUAAGAUAGUCGGUCAGGUCAAAGAUUUUAUGUGGGAGAAGCGCUGGUGUCUGCUAGUUGAGCUGCAGGAUUCGUCUGGAUUUUUCUAUCUGUGCUGCUACUGUCUGGGCACAUCAAGAGUCGUGAGAGCCAUCUCCCUUCCCUCAAAGGUGAAAUGUAUGGAAGUAAUGGGUGACAAAUGGUUCAAAGAUACUGGACAUCUUCACACAACCUUGACAUGCUUUGCUGGUGUUGCAGUACUGGGAACAGACCAAGGGGACAUUCUGCUGCUGGAUUUAGCUUUAGCUGAUAAAAAACACUACAGGACUGAGAAGGAAGCUGCUGAGUACAAGCUGCUGGCUGGUUUUGAUACAGGCUAUGAAGCUGAACUGAAAGAAGCACAGCUACAGGAGAUACAUGUGUUCGGCUGCACAUCCAAGCAGGGGCUUGGGCCACGUCUCAAGCCUUUAUCACACAUACUAACCAAUUAGUAGUUGGCUACUCAACGGGGAUCCUGCAGUUUUGGAACCUGCUGCACCUCCACAUGGAGUUCCAAAUUCAAAUGCAAUCAGAACUGUCUCCAAUAGACGCUUUGCAGUUUCAAGAAUCUUCAAGCUCUAACAUACCUCGAUGCUUUCUUUGGGUGAUUUCAUCCCAGCCAUGCAGAGAAGGAGCCACAAUCAAGAUUAACCUUCUAGAGCUGUUAUUUCGUGAGUACAGUGCUUCGGCUCAGGUCCAUUAUCACGAUUUUCUCAGCUGUCAAGUGUAUCACACACAGCAGUUGUGCGAUGGAGUCGAACCCAAUCCCUCGGCAUCCUACUGUCGCCUUCUCAGCUGCCACACCAUCAGGGCUUGUCAACCAAACCAUUUAUCAAGCUCUCUGUUACAACACAGAGGUAUUGCACGUUGUCUGGACCUGGGUAACCUUGCUGUUUUUACAUGGGAAGUAAAAAAGGUGGAGCUGGCAACCUUCAUAGCUGUGUUUAAUCUUAGCCAGUUACAGGAGGACAGACCAGAACCACUACGGUCAAACAGUGAGCUGGAAAACUGCCAGCAUUUGAAAGUCUGGAGUUCUGGGAACAGAGACACUCCAGUACUGGAUAUCGUUGUCUAUAAAAACUUCCUUUGUCACAUAUUUACAUAGCCGGAUGCAGACAUGAACAUUGGGAACCAACUUGGUCUCCUUGUAUUAAAUGCAGCCACCUUGUUUGUGCACGGAUUUGAAAUUCACGGGCUCCCAGCAUACCACUCAGAGCCCCUUACUAUAAAGGGUUUUAGCAUGGAAGGAUCGCUGGGAUAUCUGAGUAAGCUCAUUGAAUACUCUG
Acipenser ruthenus (sterlet) is the source of this 1704-nucleotide RNA transcript. RefSeq lists it as uncharacterized. The transcript has 12 exons. The record is from RefSeq and is a predicted model, not a curated record. NCBI's taxonomy places the organism in Eukaryota, Metazoa, Chordata, Actinopteri, Acipenseriformes, Acipenseridae.